Molecule: non-coding RNA, 361 nt
Organism: Miniopterus natalensis
Lineage: Eukaryota; Metazoa; Chordata; Mammalia; Chiroptera; Miniopteridae
Source: RefSeq, a predicted model, not a curated record
UGCCUCCUCCACCCCAUUUGGCUCCAUACCAGAACUCCCUGCACCUCCAAGAAAGUGUUACUGGCAAGACAACCAGACCUCAGAUCUUGUCCUCUUGAAGGAAAGAUUUCAAUCAAGAGACAACGUGUAGCAAAAAAAUCAGAAAUCCCAUCCAUGACUGGAAUUAUAUUUCUCAGCUCUGCUCUCGAAGGCCUGUAGGAACAUCGAUGAUGUCUUCAGUUUGCUCCUGCCUUGGGGCUUCUCUUGCUUUGGGGUGGUUCACGUGCAGAUUGAUGAUGUAUGCCCAAAGGGGCUUCAUUCCAACUCCACUUUUAGUUGUUGAAUUUGGUCACAAAUUUUAAAAAUAAAUGUCUCCCUUCCA